Long non-coding RNA from Quercus robur (English oak), 259 nucleotides. RefSeq lists it as uncharacterized. The transcript is spliced from 3 exons. The record is from RefSeq and is a predicted model, not a curated record. Lineage: Eukaryota; Viridiplantae; Streptophyta; Magnoliopsida; Fagales; Fagaceae.
GCAAGCCCAUGUCCCAUUUUCUUUUCACAAGUCAAAGGACGAGAUGGAGGCCUUAGAGGAUGAAUUUCAUGAAUUAGUUUUAAAUCAAGCAACAACAGCAGCAAGUUCUAGUUCCUGUUCAAACAAAGGUGGUACUCAUACCACAGUUAAUAUUGAUGAAUGAUCACUGAUUGGGAGGAUGGAAGGUCGCCUUUUGUAUAGGAGGCAGUUUUUUUGGAUAUAUUUUGAAGCUUUUUUGGACAGAUGUGUAGCUUUUCUA